Long non-coding RNA from Beta vulgaris subsp. vulgaris (sugar beet), 2535 nucleotides. RefSeq lists it as uncharacterized. Lineage: Eukaryota; Viridiplantae; Streptophyta; Magnoliopsida; Caryophyllales; Amaranthaceae. The transcript is spliced from 2 exons. The record is from RefSeq and is a predicted model, not a curated record.
UAACUUAUGUAAUAGAUCGAUCCACUAAGACUAAGGUAUUGAGCGGCGGUGUAGGAUCAAAUCCCAAAGAUAGUAAGUCUUUUCUUUCUUACUUAUGAAGGAAAGCCUUUUUCAAAGAUUCUAUAUAAAUUUCGAUAUGAAACCGAGAUAGUUACCUUGCGGAAAAUACGCCGGAUAAGAGUAAAUACCUAUGCUUUAUUCUUCUGCAGGUGGGAGAAAAGAUAAAACUGAAACUGAUUCUUAAUUAAAUCAAAAUGAAAGUUUGAAACUCAUGUAUUAACCUCUUUUAGUUACUCUGAACAGUGGGAUAUAGAUGUAUAAGAAAUCUCAUUCAGUUUAAUAGGGCACCAAAUGAAUUGACUGCGGAGCCGUAUGAGGUUGGAAACUCUGAAGUACGGUUCUAAGGGAAGGAAUUGACCCGCCUAUUCCUAUUCCGACCGGGAGAACAGGCCAUUCAACAGGGAGAUUCUGAAAUUGCGGAGGCUUGGUUCGAUCAAGCCGCUGAGUAUUGGAAACAGGCUAUAACGCUUACUCCUGGGAAUUAUAUUGAAGCGCAUAAUUGGUUGAAGAUCACGGGGCGGUUCGAAUAAAACAAUAAUAAUUCUUAUUAUUUCUAAUUUUUUUGUUAUUUGUUAGAAUUAUUAGUCAAAUAGAAUGGAAUCAUUCUUCGAGAAAGAACCAAUCAAAGAAUUUCUUUAUAUCCCUUUUCAGAUCGUUAUAGAGUACAGAAUCAUUUUAUUUCUUUUCGUCUAUUAGCUAUUAAUACAAAUAAAUUACUAUUUCAAAUAUAAAAAAUAACAUUUUUUUUCUUUUUUUAAAAGAAAAUCGAAUUCUAAUAUAUAAUAAUUAAAAACAAAUCUUAAUAAAUAUAGAAUAAUGAAUAAUAUUUCUAUACAUAGAAAUAUUAUUCAUUAUUCUAAAAUAAAAUACUAAUAAAAUAUUAAAAAAAAUGCUUCGAAUGACUAAAUACUGAGAUGUUUCUUAGUAAUGACUAACAAUUCUUCGUGUGAUUUUUAAUAUUUUGACUCGAGUAUUUUUUAAUAGAAUCCAGAAUAAUUAAAAUAUUCUAUGUAACACAUUAAGUAGCCCCAUCUAAUAUCUUCUAAUUGAGAUACAAAUAGUCUGCUUUUGUAGAACUAGAGAGGUUUUCUUUAUUUUUUUUUUCUCUUUGCAACUUCCUUGUUUACUUUUUAAAAUCCCACGUUUCAUGAGUUGUAAUUGUAUUUUUAUUUUUUGUAUUUUUUCUUUUUGUUUUCUUUCAUUUUUAUUCUCCUUUUACUACUUGUAACAUUUCUUAUUAAUUGUUUUCCUUUUCUUUUUCAAACCCAUUUCUUGUUUUAUCACGUGAAACUUGACAACUAAGAAGUUGAUAAGUUUCUUUUGUCUCUUUUGCAGACUUUCUUUUUCUUUUAUUCAUUUAUUAUUAUUUAUCAUUUUCUUUUGUAGUUUUUUUUCAAACUAAACCCUUAUACUUUUAGUACUUGAUCCUUCUAAACUUUUAGAGUAUAGUAGCUACUCCCUUUAAUUUAACAAAUUUUAAUUAAUUUCGGGUAUUAUAUAUUGUAAUACCCCGAACCUUAAACUCGUUUUAUUAAUUACGAAUUAUAUUUAUUAGCAUAAUUACGUCCUAAAUUUUUUUUGAAAUUAAUCUGGAGAAAGUUAUUUUAUAAAAUAAGUAUAUUCAUAUUACUUUAAUGAUGUUUAUUAUGGUAAAUGAUUCUAUUUACAAUAUAGUUUUAUGACUUCAAUAUUAUAGAUACAAGUCAAAGUAAAUAGCAAAGUUUAACAUUUUGACAUCCAAAGGAAAUGAGAAAGAAAAAGGAUUGAAGGGAGCUGGUGUUCAGCUUUUCCCAAACCCACGGUCAAGUUUCAACACCCACCACCUACCUCCUUGUCCCCUACAUUAAUCUUCCUUAAUUGAACCACCAUUCAGCAUCUUUCCACCUCCAUUUUUGUCUCCAGAAAUCUGUCUUUAAAUGCACAUUGAAACUAGGCUUCAAUUACAAACUUAAAACCACAAGAAAUCACAAAGAAUUUCUUCUCCUCUUAUUCCUUCUCUCUCUCCCCUGUUUCGGAUCUCACACCAACACCACCACAAUCUGCCGCCAGCUCGCACGUCGCAAGACAGUCGCCGGUCACUUUUGCGGCACUCGCCGACCACCUGCAGCUCGUCGGAGCUUCACCUGCAUCUCGCGCACUCUCUCUCUCCUCCUCGUGCUCUCUCUCGUCGCUCCUCUUCGUUGCUGCUGCCGCUCGUGUUUCCGCCGCCACCGGAGCUUCGAGGACCGCCGUAGGUCUUCUGUGUCGUCGCCGGCUUCCACCGCCUCAGCUGGAGUUCGCCGGAGCUCGUUUUCUGCUUUGUGCGUCCCUGCUCUAAGUAAGCAGAGGUAUUAUAAAGAUAGCUCAGGAUCAGUUAUGUCAAGGAUGCUCCAGGAAUGCUGAGUUGAAGCGACUUUGUGUAUAUUUGGGUUAUCUAGAAUACUCUGUAUUUAUGGGUAGUAUCUAUUGCUUAAUGAUGUUCUUUUGUUUGUUUAA